CGGGGCGUAGCGCAGUCUGGUAGCGCGCCUGCUUUGGGAGCAGGAUGUCGGGAGUUCGAAUCUCUUCGCCCCGACCA
This 77-nucleotide transfer RNA is filed under the name Desulfamplus magnetovallimortis. RNAcentral describes it as "tRNA-Pro". It matches the Rfam family "tRNA". From Rfam's summary of the family: Transfer RNA (tRNA) molecules are approximately 80 nucleotides in length. Their secondary structure includes four short double-helical elements and three loops (D, anti-codon, and T loops). The record is from RNAcentral. Lineage: Bacteria; Pseudomonadati; Thermodesulfobacteriota; Desulfobacteria; Desulfobacterales; Desulfobacteraceae. RNAcentral also lists the same sequence under 2 other names.